GACGAACGCUGGCGGCGUGCUUAACACAUGCAAGUCGAACGGAAAGGCCCCGCCUUUGUGGGGUGCUCGAGUGGCGAACGGGUGAGUAACACGUGAGUAACCUGCCCUUGACUUUGGGAUAACUUCAGGAAACUGGGGCUAAUACCGGAUAGGAGCUCCUGCUGCAUGGUGGGGGUUGGAAAGUUUCGGCGGUUGGGGAUGGACUCGCGGCUUAUCAGCUUGUUGGUGGGGUAGUGGCUUACCAAGGCGUUGACGGGUAGCCGGCCUGAGAGGGUGACCGGCCACAUUGGGACUGAGAUACGGCCCAGACUCCUACGGGAGGCAGCAGUGGGGAAUAUUGCACAAUGGGCGGAAGCCUGAUGCAGCAACGCCGCGUGCGGGAUGACGGCCUUCGGGUUGUAAACCGCUUUCGCCUGUGACGAAGCGUGAGUGACGGUAAUUGGUAAAGAAGCACCGGCUAACUACGUG
Molecule: ribosomal RNA, 468 nt
Filed under: uncultured bacterium
Lineage: Bacteria
Description: partial 16S ribosomal RNA
Rfam family: Bacterial small subunit ribosomal RNA
Source: RNAcentral